GUUUCACUUACACAACGAAUCAUGUGAAUAUUGUACUGGAACUGAUCAAAUAUUUAAAAAUGAAGUAACAUUAACAAGAGAAAUAAUUGUUAUUCGUUUAAUACUAUUUUUAGCACAAGAUGGUAAAUUAAUAAAAGCAGAAAACAAAUUUAAUUUAUGUGCUGUUCUAACAACUAAAGUAUUAAUAGCGGGACAAUUGUACAAGACGAUGAGUGCUAUACUUUAUGAUAGUUCGUGCAUCGAUGAAGGUCAUUAUGUAAGCAUAUGUAGAGAAGGACUAUCUAAUAUUUGGAUCGAAAUAGAUGAUGCAGAAGUAAAAAAGAGACAGUGGCCUAGAGGUGCUAAAGAUGUUUAUAUAAUAUUUUUACAAAAAAUAGCGUGGCCAGUAGACUUGGUCUACGUUGCGAAAUUGUAGGACUCGAUGGUCGAUCAGAACUACCCCCCUGUAUAUAUUGGAUAUCAAUAUAUGACACGAUUAAUCCAGAAAAUAAAAGAUGUUUUAGUAUAACUUUUGGGAAAUUCCCGGAUUGUCUUGUCAAUAAACUGUAUGAGUUUAAUUCGUGGCAUGUAUAUAAACUUCCUUGCUUUAAUAUGGACGAAUGCUUUGAUAUAGUAUCACGAUGUCAGAUGCGAGACGAGUUAAUGCUAAGAGUUGCGGAUUUGACAUACCACUAUAACACUUCUCAGAUUAAGCAGCGUAAUAGGAUUGAUCUACGUAAUACGUAAAAGAGAAUUUAAAAUAAAAAGGCUUCGUUUAAAAAAAACAGGGCAUUUCAUUAGAACAGAAGACGUAAAGUUUGGGGUAGGAAUGAUCGUAACACAUCGUAAUGAGUGCAAUAAUUGCGACGGCGUCAUAAUCAGAUGGGAUCGUCAUACAGACAGAUGUUUUGAAAUUUUUACACCCGAUCUAUAGAUUAUUACGACGGAUGGUCUGCAGUAAAUCAUACAACAGAAAUAGAUUUCUUGCCGUUGAAUCAUUGUCACAAUUAUGAGUUUAUAAAGCGACAAACAAAUUAUAUUAUUCUUACCGAUAAUGAUAAAAUAUGUUACGUGAAUGAAGACAAUCUCACAUUAACAUCGCCAAAAUGGAUCGAUAAUUACGAAAUUGGUCGCUAUUUUUGUAAAUUCGAAAAUACGCAUUACGUACCAAAUGAAAUGCUAACAAAACUUUACCCCGAAGACGUCGCUAUAAUUACACAGAGGACAAAAUAUGUAAAUUAAUAUUAUGAAUAACGUGCAAUAUUUAGGAG
Molecule: long non-coding RNA, 1250 nt
Organism: Nylanderia fulva
Lineage: Eukaryota; Metazoa; Arthropoda; Insecta; Hymenoptera; Formicidae
Source: RefSeq, a predicted model, not a curated record